GACGAACGCUGGCGGCGUGCUUAACACAUGCAAGUCGAACGGAAAGGCCCUGCUUUUGUGGGGUGCUCGAGUGGCGAACGGGUGAGUAACACGUGAGUAACCUGCCCUUGACUUUGGGAUAACUUCAGGAAACUGGGGCUAAUACCGGAUAGGAGCUCCUGCUGCAUGGUGGGGGUUGGAAAGUUUCGGCGGUUGGGGAUGGACUCGCGGCUUAUCAGCUUGUUGGUGAGGUAGUGGCUUACCAAGGCUUUGACGGGUAGCCGGCCUGAGAGGGUGACCGGCGACAUUGGGACUAAGGGACGGACCAGACUCCUACGGGAGGCAACAGUCGGAAAUAUUGCGCAAUGGGCGGAAGCCAGAUGCAACAGCGCCGCGUGCGGGAUAACGGCCUUCGAGUUAUAAACCGCUUUCGCCGGUGACGAAGCGUGAGUGACGGUAAUGGGUAAGGAAGCACCGGCUAACUACGUG
RNAcentral lists this ribosomal RNA (468 nucleotides) under uncultured bacterium. RNAcentral describes it as "partial 16S ribosomal RNA". It matches the Rfam family "Bacterial small subunit ribosomal RNA", at positions 28 to 507 of the family's 1533-position model. The record is from RNAcentral.